RNAcentral lists this unclassified non-coding RNA (249 nucleotides) under plant metagenome. RNAcentral's name for it is "partial contains small subunit ribosomal RNA, internal transcribed spacer 1, and 5.8S ribosomal RNA". The stretch from base 201 to 249 matches the Rfam family "5.8S ribosomal RNA", at positions 1 to 49 of the family's 154-position model. The record is from RNAcentral.
UCUCCGUAGGUGAACCUGCGGAGGGAUCAUUACAGAGUUCAUGCCCUACCGGGUAGAUCUCCCACCCUAUGUUAUUAUCACUUUGUUGCUUUGGCGGGCCGUUAGGCUCCGGCCCGACUACCGGCCCCGGCUGGUAAGCGCCCGCCAGAGGACCCAAAACCCUGAAUAUUAGUGUCGUCUGAGUACUAUAUAAUAGUUAAAACUUUCAACAACGGAUCUCUUGGUUCUGGCAUCGAUGAAGAACGCGGC